Molecule: long non-coding RNA, 283 nt
Organism: Hyposmocoma kahamanoa
Lineage: Eukaryota; Metazoa; Arthropoda; Insecta; Lepidoptera; Cosmopterigidae
Exons: 3
Source: RefSeq, a predicted model, not a curated record
GUCCUCGCGCAGAAAAAGCCGCUCUGACCCAGUUUACUACUUUGAGCUCAACCUUGAGACCUCGUUUACUAUGAACAAUAGUGUAGUAUUCGAUUUUUACUUUUACGAGUUUCUGACAAACCAGUACAAGCGCAGUUUCGUUGAGAUGCAUUUCAAGAUGUGCAAUAUGGUAAAAUACGACCCCUUCUUCGGCACCGCGUUUAGAUCAGCCGGUUUGAAGGAAACGUGUCCCUAUCCCCCGGUAAUUACGCACCAUUGGGUAUCUUUUCCAGUAAUUCACGUU